Molecule: long non-coding RNA, 430 nt
Filed under: Coffea arabica (coffee)
Lineage: Eukaryota; Viridiplantae; Streptophyta; Magnoliopsida; Gentianales; Rubiaceae
Description: long non-coding RNA (CARA_LNC006909)
Source: RNAcentral
AGAAACAAAGCUAACGUCUACACAUGAUUAUAGUAUAACGAAUUAGAAAAUAAAAAGCUGGAAAAAGAAGAGAAAAUGAAAGGAGAUACCUCAAUGAAUAUGAAAAUCUUUCGGUUGAAGUUUGAUGAAAUUUCCAAGCCUUGACCGAUAGCUGCCCUUUCUUUUUUUGUGUUUUGAUUUUGUGGGAAAAAAUGUGUAGAGGGAGCCCUUUUUGUUGUUCCUCUUGUCUUCUUUCUUCUGCCCAAAUCCGAGAGAGGAAGAGAGUGAGGAGUGGAAAGUGCUUCUUUUUUUUCUUUGUCUCUGACUUCCAAGAGAGAGCCGAGAGAGUGAGGAAGAUUGAGGAGUUAGUUUUUUUUUCUUUCUUUCCUUGUCUGAUUUUUCUUCUGUGUGUAUCGAGAGAGUGAAUUGAGGGAGUAGUUUUUUGAGCCCC